This 884-nucleotide ribosomal RNA is filed under the name uncultured bacterium. RNAcentral's name for it is "bacterial SSU rRNA". It matches the Rfam family "Bacterial small subunit ribosomal RNA", at positions 57 to 897 of the family's 1533-position model. The record is from RNAcentral.
GCAAGUCGUACGGGACUCUCUUUGUAGCAAUACCGAGGGAGUUUAGUGGCGGACGGGUGAGUAAUACAUGGGUAACGUACCCCGGACACAGGGAUAGCGGCGCCCCGCAAGGGGCUUUAGCGAAAGUGCCGGUAAUACCUGAUGAUAUCCCGAUUCGGCAUCGGAUUGGGAUCAAAUGGUGGGGACCUUCGGGCCUACCGGUCUGGGAUCGGCCCAUGCCCUAUCAGCUAGUUGGUGAGGUAACGGCUCACCAAGGCUAAGACGGGUAGCCGGCGUGAGAGCGCGACCGGCCACAUCGGGACUGAGACACUGCCCGGACACCUACGGGUGGCUGCAGCAACGAAUAUUCCGCAAUGGGCGCAAGCCUGACGGAGCGACGCCGCGUGGGGGAUGAAGUCCUUCGGGAUGUAAACUCUAAUAGUAUGUGAGGAAGCGAGCCGGUCGAACAGGCCGGCGAGUUGACCAACAUACGAAAGGGGCGGCUAACUCCGUGCCAGCAGCCGCGGUAAGACGGAGGCCCCGAGCGUUGUUCGGAAUCACUGGGCUUAAAGCGCGUGUAGGCGGGACGGCAAGUACCUUGUGAAAUCCCCGGCUUCAACCCGGGAACUGCUCGGUAUACUGCCGUUCUUGAGGCAGGUAGGGGUCACUGGAACCUUAGGUGGAGCGGUGAAAUGCGUAGAUAUCUAAGGGAACGCCUGUGGCGAAAGCGGGUGACUGGGCCUGUCCUGACGCUGAGACGCGAAAGCGUAGGGAGCAAACGGGAUUAGAUACCCCGGUAGUCUACGCCGUAAACGAUGCGCACUAGGUUCGAGAACCUCUGACGGUUUUCGAGCCGAAACAAAAGCGAUAAGUGCGCCGCCUGGGGAGUACGGCCGCAAGGCUAA